GACGAACGCUGGCGGCGUGCUUAACACAUGCAAGUCGAACGGAAAGGCCCUUUCGGGGGUACUCGAGUGGCGAACGGGUGAGUAACACGUGGGUGAUCUGCCCUGCACUUUGGGAUAAGCCUGGGAAACUGGGUCUAAUACCGGAUAUACCCUGCUGGUCGCAUGGCCUGGUGGGGGAAAGCUUUUGCGGUGUGGGAUGGGCCCGCGGCCUAUCAGCUUGUUGGUGGGGUGAUGGCCUACCAAGGCGACGACGGGUAGCCGGCCUGAGAGGGUGUCCGGCCACACUGGGACUGAGAUACGGCCCAGACUCCUACGGGAGGCAGCAGUGGGGAAUAUUGCACAAUGGGCGCAAGCCUGAUGCAGCGACGCCGCGUGGGGAUGACGGCCUG
Molecule: ribosomal RNA, 389 nt
Filed under: uncultured bacterium
Lineage: Bacteria
Description: bacterial SSU rRNA
Rfam family: Bacterial small subunit ribosomal RNA
Source: RNAcentral